Long non-coding RNA from Perognathus longimembris pacificus (Pacific pocket mouse), 153 nucleotides. RefSeq lists it as uncharacterized. The record is from RefSeq and is a predicted model, not a curated record. The transcript has 3 exons. Lineage: Eukaryota; Metazoa; Chordata; Mammalia; Rodentia; Heteromyidae.
GAAAUAAAUGACAUUAUUUUAUUUUUUUAAGAUCACAUUCACUUAACCACAAGCCAGUUUUACUUAAAUCAGGACUGCCCAAAAAUAUUCUGCCAGCCAUUCAUGAUAUGAAAUCUGGUAUUAGAGAUCAAUUGAAUUAUGGUACACAUUAAA